This 254-nucleotide ribosomal RNA is filed under the name uncultured bacterium. Its description in RNAcentral is "partial 16S ribosomal RNA". It matches the Rfam family "Bacterial small subunit ribosomal RNA", at positions 524 to 776 of the family's 1533-position model. The record is from RNAcentral.
UACGUAGGGGGCUAGCGUUGUGCGGAAUUACUGGGCGUAAAGGGCGUGUAGGCGGCCCGGAAAGUCGGGUGGGAAAGCCCUGGGCUUAACCUAGGAAGUGCAUUCGAAACUCCCGUGGCUUGAGUUUUGGAGAGGGAAGCGGAAUUCUCGGUGUAGAGGUGAAAUUCGUAGAUAUCGAGAGGAACACCGGUGGCGAAGGCGGCUUCCUGGACAAUGACUGACGCUGAGACGCGAAAGCGUGGGGAGCAAACAGG